Molecule: long non-coding RNA, 1974 nt
Filed under: Mytilus galloprovincialis (Mediterranean mussel)
Lineage: Eukaryota; Metazoa; Mollusca; Bivalvia; Mytilida; Mytilidae
Source: RNAcentral
GGUUCUGUAUGCAAUUUUAGUUUUCCUGUUGAUAAAGGUGAAAGACACCAGCAUGGGGGAAAUUUCUUGUGCUUUUGGGGUAAAUAGUUCGAAGUUCAAGGUCACUGUUGUUAGUAAAUUUUCUUGUUUCAUAAAAUGAAUAUGGUAUCAUAGGCUUAAUUCCCUUGCAAUGUCAGCUGCUUAAAGGAUCAUAAGUGUGUAAUUCUGAUUUAUUGAGUUCGACAUUGGAACACCUAUCAUUCAUGGAAUAGCAUAUAGUUUCCAAAUCUCUAGUUGGCAUUUGAAGGUCAAUGACUCCAAAUAUCUAGUUGGCAUUUGAAAGUCAAUGACCAAAUCUCUAGUUGGCAUUUGAAGGUCAAUGACAAUACAACUUUACAUAGACUUUAAGUUUAUCAAAUCAUUUGAUUCACAUGCUACUCCGCUUUUAAAUAUAACACAUUCUCAUUUCAGCAGGAAGAGGAGCUCCGAGAGGUGGCCGUGGAAGUGGAAGUGGUGGACAUCGUGGUGGCUCAUCAGGUGGCUUUGGAAAGCCACAGGCACAACAAGUGUCAUAGACAGCAUGUCAGAAGCUUUUUUAUAUAUAAAGUUGUGGAUGGUUAAGCAUGUGGACUGUGGUUUAUUUGUGAUAGCAUUCUUAAUAAUUGAUCUUUGGGCAAAUUUGAUUACAGUUUUUGAAAGCUUUCUUUUCCUUGGGCUUUACAUGUUUGAACCAUGCAUUUGUUAACAAAAUUCUAAACAUCCUCAUUUCACAUCAAAAUACAAAUUAAAAUUACUGUAAAUUCAUUUUGUAUUGAUUGUAAGGGGUACUUAUAAAUUUGUAUGUAUGCAUGUAUGUAUGUGUCAGACCACUCUUUUUUGUCCACAACUUGAUGUAUAAAUAGCAUAAUUCUGCCAUUAUAGACGUGGCAAGGCAAUAUUCAACGGCAAACAACGUUUAAACCUAAGUUGUGAUUGUACAGAUUAAAAUGAACAUCCAAUGAAAGUGCUUCACUCAGAUGAUUUUUUGUACUUUAAUAAUGUGGUGUUGUAGAGACUGAUAUGAACUCUUUUGUACAAAAAUUGAUCAGGAAUUGAUUCAAUACCAAGUAACUUACGUAUUUUUUGUUUAUUCAUUCAGUGCUAUGAUUUUGUUUAUAUUUACAUCUUUGAACAAAACACAAAAGUCAAUCAAAGAUAGUAUUGAUUGCAUCCAGCAUUUUUGUCAAAAAAAAAGAAAAAAAAUAAUGAAAAAAAAAAAUAGAAAAAUUUUCAGACAUUGAUGAAACUUUGAAUGGUGUUAAUCAGAUUGUGAUAUAGUGAUAUAUCGGUGGAUAAUGAUUCUGUAAUCUUUGUAACAUAUGAACUUGUGCAUUAAAAGUUUCAUUUAUAUAUAUGUCGUUUUGUAUGUCAAUCUGUGAUGCCUUUUAAAAAAUCAAACUGAAAUUAUUUGAUUUCCCGAUCCAAGUCCAAAUGUAUAAAAAGUUAACAAAUAUAGGUUGAAUUAUGGCUUUCAACAUGGAACUCUUGGCUCAUACUGAACAGAAAGCUAUAAAAGGGUUAAAAAAUGACAAGUGUAAAGCAAAUCAAACAGGGGAAAACCAACAGUCAAUCUUCAUAGAAAACAAAAACAACUCAUGAACCACACCAACUUAUGACUUGUGACAGGUGCAUAAAAUGCACGGUUUAAAGCUUUUAAAAAUGUCCACCUUCCCUCUAAUCUGAUAGAAAUGGCUUACCUGGAUAAAAAAAGACAUGUGAAGUGGAUGUAAGCAAUUAUAGGCAACCUUACAGCCUUCAACAUCGAGAAAAAACCUAGUAUAGUCUGAUAUAAAAGGCCCCAACAUACGUCUCUCAGAUGAUUCACAUGACCUCGACCUCAUUUCAUUGAUCAAGGUUUAAGUUGCAUGAUAAGGUCUAUUUCUCAGAUACUAUAAGUAGUAGGUCAGUUAUAUAUGGUGUAUGGAUUGAUUGUAAAGUUUUCAUGUCUGUCUGGCA